CAAAGUGUAGCUUAAAUAAAAGCAUCUAGUUUACACCUAGAAGAUUUCAUGCAAACUGACCACUUUGA
This 68-nucleotide transfer RNA is filed under the name Myotis bombinus. RNAcentral's name for it is "tRNA-Val". It matches the Rfam family "tRNA". Rfam says of the family: Transfer RNA (tRNA) molecules are approximately 80 nucleotides in length. Their secondary structure includes four short double-helical elements and three loops (D, anti-codon, and T loops). The record is from RNAcentral. Lineage: Eukaryota; Metazoa; Chordata; Mammalia; Chiroptera; Vespertilionidae.